Molecule: ribosomal RNA, 253 nt
Filed under: uncultured bacterium
Lineage: Bacteria
Description: partial 16S ribosomal RNA
Rfam family: Bacterial small subunit ribosomal RNA
Source: RNAcentral
UACGGAGGGUGCAAGCGUUAAUCGGAAUUACUGGGCGUAAAGCGCGCGCAGGCGGUCUUCCAAGUCAGUGGUGAAAGCCCGGAGCUCAACUCCAGAACUGCCUUUGAUACUGAGGAUCUUGAGUUCGGGAGAGGUGAGUGGAACUGCGAGUGUAGAGGUGAAAUUCGUAGAUAUUCGCAAGAACACCAGUGGCGAAGGCGGCUCACUGGCCCGAUACUGACGCUGAGGCACGAAAGCGUGGGGAGCAAACAGG